Molecule: long non-coding RNA, 1055 nt
Filed under: Heterocephalus glaber (naked mole-rat)
Lineage: Eukaryota; Metazoa; Chordata; Mammalia; Rodentia; Bathyergidae
Description: lncRNA (ENSHGLG00100042455.1)
Source: RNAcentral
GCAGGGGUGGCCACUGAGUUCCAUGGAUGGAAGCAGCACUGGGUCAUUGCUGUGGGACCCAGGAGAUGCUGGAAUUUCUUGGCCCUCUGUUGGACCCAAGCGCUGGCUUCUGCUUUCUGCCAGAACAAAACUUCUACUUCCCACCACUCUGCAGAGUCCCCAAGGCCGCCCUGGGCCAGAUGCUCCCCCAGAUGGUGAGCACAGGUGGACGGGGGCCACACCUGGCCAUGAGCUUCCAAUCAAGGACUGGGGACCAAGACAGGGGCCACGCAGCCGGGAGGCUCCAUCGCUCUGGAAGUCAUGGCAGGAGGGACAGUUGGUUAGAAGAACUUGAACUGGAAGCAAGCGAGACUGCAGGGGCAGCAAGGAGGGCUGCAGAGCUGCCAAGGCAGAGCCUGCAGAGGGGACAAACACUGGGUGCUCACAUGGCGGAAGGUACCAAGGAUGAGAACAAAAAAGGCCUGGUCGGCUCCCUCCAGUCCCAGUACGGGUGCUGAUCCAUCCCUCAAGAUGAGGUCCUCAUGACCUAGCACAUCCUAAUGGACCCACCUGGUCCUACUGUCACAGUGCCAAUUAAGUUUCAGUGCAGGAAUUUGGGGACACACUGAGACCCUAGCACUGGAGUGAACAUAAGACCCCCCAGUGGCCCACCUGGCCCGGCUCAGUCAGAUGGGGGCUAUGUGGGCCAGGGCAAGUCCCCCGGGGAGCUCAGGGAGCCAGGAUGCGCUGAGGCCAUGGGUCCCCGCUCUUCUCACCAGCCUUUGUCCAACUCAGCCCUCCUUCCAGGUGUGUGGAAAAGCUCUCUAACUCCUUCCGGCCUCUAGAUGAAUUUGUUCUGUUCCAGAGCGGCUCUGUCAUCCUACACCGAUGACUCCAGCUGUUCUUGACACUUGUUUCUACAUUGAUUUUCCUCUCCCAAAGACUGGAAAGGAAAAGUCAAGUAGAACUGUCUUUGGCCUUGGUGGUUCGUAAUCUCGGGCCAAUAUGAAAGACAUGCAGACUUGUACUCAGAGAGGCUAAGGUAGGAGGAUUACAGAUUUGAGCCCAGCUUGGGC